UACGUAGGUGGCAAGCGUUGUCCGGAUUUACUGGGCGUAAAGCGUGCGCAGGCGGUUCUGAAAGUCAGCUGUGAAAGCCCCGGGCUUAACCUGGGAAUGGCGGUUGAAACUACAGGACUAGAAUCUGGCAGAGGGGGGUGGAAUUCCACGUGUAGCAGUGAAAUGCGUAGAGAUGUGGAGGAACACCGAUGGCGAAGGCAGCCCCCUGGGCUGAGAUUGACGCUCAGGCACGAAAGCGUGGGGAUCAAACAGG
This 253-nucleotide ribosomal RNA is filed under the name uncultured bacterium. RNAcentral's name for it is "partial 16S ribosomal RNA". It matches the Rfam family "Bacterial small subunit ribosomal RNA", at positions 524 to 776 of the family's 1533-position model. The record is from RNAcentral.